AAGUCGUAACAAGGUUUCCGUAGGUGAACCUGCGGAAGGAUCAUUAAUAGGUGCUGACACCCCGGGGCUUCGCCCUGGGGCGACGCAUACAGAGACGAAGAACGCACGUACAACACCGGAUUCGCGCCCGGGGCUGCCGUCGCAAGACGCGUAGCAGGCCAGCUCUCGUAGACGUAGGCGCCCACCCUGGCCAGCGUGCGUUUGACCCUCGCCACCCUUUGUUAAUUCACCUUUGUUGCUUUGGCAGGCCCGCGCUCCGGCGCUCUCGGCUUCGGCGGAGACGUGUCUGCCAGAGGACCCCAACUCGUGAUUUUAGUGAUGUCUGAGUACUAUAUAAUAGUUAAAAC
This 347-nucleotide unclassified non-coding RNA is filed under the name plant metagenome. RNAcentral's name for it is "partial contains small subunit ribosomal RNA and internal transcribed spacer 1". The stretch from base 1 to 46 matches the Rfam family "Eukaryotic small subunit ribosomal RNA", at positions 1786 to 1831 of the family's 1831-position model. The record is from RNAcentral.